RNAcentral lists this ribosomal RNA (159 nucleotides) under uncultured bacterium. RNAcentral's name for it is "partial 16S ribosomal RNA". The record is from RNAcentral.
GCACAGAGUUAGCCGUCUCUUCCUCUAGUGAUACUCUCAAGCCGGCUCGCAGUUGACGCCCGGCUUUACUCUCACUUGACAGGAGUUUACAUUCCAAAGACCUUCAUCCUCCACGCGGCGUCGCAUCAUCAGCUUUCGCCCAUUGAGAAUGAUUCUCGA